This 2288-nucleotide long non-coding RNA is filed under the name Macaca mulatta (Rhesus monkey). RNAcentral describes it as "lncRNA (ENSMMUG00000063743.1)". The record is from RNAcentral. Lineage: Eukaryota; Metazoa; Chordata; Mammalia; Primates; Cercopithecidae.
CACCGCCUGAUGUUGUCUGUUGGCGCGCUCUGGGGAUUGGAACCAAUACAAGAACCUUUCAAUGAGAAACAAAAAGUUCACCACAGAAGAGAGAAAAAGGACAUUCCAGGUUGAUGUGAAAAUGAAAUGCUGUAAUGGCAUUUGUUCAUUAACCUAAUGAGGGAAGCCAUUCUCUACAGGAGCAUGAAGAGGGGACUCUAGGAGAGAAUCCCCCAGGUGCCACCAGCAGUUCCCUGCCAUGUGGUCCUUUCCACUUCCUGUAAAACAAUCCUGAGUUCCAGGAAGAAACACACUCAGCUAACACAUUGCUCGUUUGCUUCCUCAAGGCCAGAAGGAGUAUUUCUUUCUCCAGUCUGCUAAUACAGAGUCUCAUAUAAGAAAAACAAAGCAAGAAAACAGCAACAAUAACAAUAGCAGUGUGGUUCACCGAGUAUGUGCCCAAGGCAUGAAAGAGAGGAGCACAAUUUCCUUGACAGAGCUGAGAUUGUGUUCUGCUUACUUCUGUGGGAAUCGGGCAAGAGCUGAAGGACCUGCAGUCAUCUCCCCAAGAGUGGCCUUUGUGAUUCAUUAAUAGAUGAAAACUCUUUAAGUGAGUAUGUCUGACUAGGGCACUGAUUGUCCCAGAGGGUUAGCUUGAAUAAAUGUUCAGCUCUAAUAUCCCAUCAUUUAUGUAAACUGCCUGAAGUGCACAACAAAUAUAACAAGAUUAUUAGCACAUGUGACCUACAUUAUUUAGGAAUUAAUUCAUCACAAGUUACAGAAACAGGACUCAAGAUGCUUUUCAGCAAAAAAUAAAAUAAUGUAUUAAGAUUAUGUUAGUGUGGCUUGUAGAAAACAAGGAUGAUAAUGAGUCUGGAGCUUAGAUAAAAACUACCUAAGAAAGAAAAUGUCAUCAGAAUCAACUCAGUCUUUUGUGUGGUUCUUUUGUAUGUAUGUUUUUCCCCUGCUCCUCUCUACUCCUCUCUUCCUUCUCCUCCUCUUCUUCCUCCUUAUUCUUCUUUAAUUGCACAAGACUUCUUUUUCUUAAGUGGUCAAUGUGGUUGGAUACUUUUUAAAAGAAAGUUUAAAAAACUUUUUUGAAUGUCCUGAACAUGAGGAAUCAAUUUCAAAUUCAGUGUUGAGGGGCAAUGUUCUAAAUUAGAUAUUCUCUAGGAGAAGACCAUGCUGAAUGAAAGAGAGUAAGUUGGUGGUCAUAUUCAGGUUGAAUAUUUGCCCAGGGUUCCACCCAUGACAGCCACAUGAAAGAGGGUCAUAAAGUAAAAUGUGUACACCCCCUGCAGUGAGUUCAGCAAAGAAGGUUUAGGUCAUGGACCGGUGUGGUCCCCACUCUAUUACUUCAUUGUGCACAUUUUCUACUCCGCCGUUUAGACUACAUGUGUUACGUUAUUUACUGUCACAUUAUCAAUAUCUAUAAGUGCCCAACACAUAUGAAGUAGUAAAAAUAUAUUUAUUGAAUAAGUAGUAAAAACAAAUAUUUCUGAGAACAUAUAAUUAUUUUCAAAUAUCAGAAACUUACGAAAUUUGUUUCCAACUGACCACUUUUAAGUAUUUGCUCUAAAGUGAAGAAAUAAAAUUCCUUCUGUAGUAGAUAUAAUUGGUUGUUUACCUGAUAUUUAGUUAUUACUUCUUAUUCUGUGUAAAAUAAUCCCAAUUUUGUUCAUCUGGCUCCUUGUGUCCUACAAAGACUUUGUAAAUCACAGGAAGCUAACUUUAUCCUUCUGUCCAGAGGUGGCUCCUGACCAAUCUAAACAAUCAUACUUGUCUGUAAUUGAUACAGAAACAGGCUAAGUUGAAUCAGGACAUAGAAGAGAAUACUCUCAAGAUACACAUCAGUCGUUAAAGGUAGGUACAAGUCCUAUACUGACUUGAUCUAUAUAAAGAAAUAACUUUAAUCUCUUGGCUAUGAGAGUAGUUUCAUUUUUUUCCACCCUAGAUAUGAAAAGAAAAAAAAGAAAAGGUCACUUGCCCUAGGUUCUGCUAAUAGCCAUCUUGCAAACAUGAAAACAGUAAGACUGAAGGAAGACUGGCAUGAUAAAUAAGGUGAAAAUCUGAGAAACAGAGCUAGGACUCAGUUUCACCACACCUGGCACUGGCCCUUCCUUUGAAUAUCCUGCUAUAUGGGAUAAUGUUGUCAUUUUUCUCAGAGCCAAUUUGAAAAAGGCUAUUUGUUACUCAUAGCUGAAGGAAAACAAAUGAAUACAUUAUCCCUAAAUGUAUCUUUGCCUUUAACUGUGAGCUAUUUUAAAAAAUAAAAUGGCCGCUUAUAACACCUAAGUGUAUUAAAAUAU